GGAGUUAGGAAAUGCGGUUGGCAGAAUUCUCGUGCUGUUUGACAAAGGCUCCAGAGGAAGCCACGGCUUACUUUGUGCCAGCAGCCGCGGUAAUACGAAGGUGGCGAGCGUUGUUCGGAAUUAUUGGGCAUAAAGGGCACGUAGGUGGAGGGGUAAGUCGGAUGUGAAAGCCUUCGGCUCAACCGGGGAAUUGCUUCUGAUACUGCCUGUCUUGAGUGUAGGAGGGGAGAGUGGAAC
Molecule: ribosomal RNA, 237 nt
Filed under: uncultured Planctomycetales bacterium
Lineage: Bacteria; Pseudomonadati; Planctomycetota; Planctomycetia; Planctomycetales
Description: partial 16S ribosomal RNA
Rfam family: Bacterial small subunit ribosomal RNA
Source: RNAcentral